AAAACUGUAAUUUCAAAGCUCAUUUCUAUAGUUUGUAACUAGGGAAUGAUGAUUGAAAGCAUCUGAUUUCGCUAAGUAGGAAGAGGAGUUACUGUGUCUCUUCUAUCGCAUGAAACUGAGCAGCGUGUGUUGUUUUUAUGUAGCUGCUUUUUAUUAUCGAUUAGCUUUUCUGUUUCUUUAUUGGGGGCAGUGAGAGAGAGAACAGGGACUGAGU
This is a small nucleolar RNA of Mauremys reevesii (Reeves's turtle), 214 nucleotides long. RefSeq annotates it as small nucleolar RNA U3. The record is from RefSeq and is a predicted model, not a curated record. The transcript has a single exon. NCBI's taxonomy places the organism in Eukaryota, Metazoa, Chordata, Testudines, Geoemydidae.